Molecule: non-coding RNA, 207 nt
Filed under: Paenibacillus rhizosphaerae
Lineage: Bacteria; Bacillati; Bacillota; Bacilli; Caryophanales; Paenibacillaceae
Description: Lysine sequence
Rfam family: Lysine riboswitch aptamer
About the family: Riboswitches are metabolite binding domains within certain messenger RNAs that serve as precision sensors for their corresponding targets.
Source: Rfam by way of RNAcentral
AGGUGAGGUAGAGGUUGCGGAAGCGAUGAGUAGCUGUUCCGAGGCGUAAGAGCCGCCGGUGACGACAGCGAAGGGCGCCUUCCGCCGAAGUGUGCGAACCCGCUCUACGGUUGGCAUGCUGGGUCUGUUCUCCGAAAGGGACAGAACUGUCGCGGUGUUCCUUCCUCCUGCAGGAAGAUGAAGACGCCGUGAUGAGCUAUCUUUCAU